CCUACGGGUGGCUGCAGUCGAGGAUCUUCGGCAAUGGGCGCAAGCCUGACCGAGCGACGCCGCGUGUGCGAUGAAGGCCUUCGGGUUGUAAAGCACUGUCGAGGGGGAGGAAAGCCCGAAAGGGUCUGACCUAUCCCUGGAGGAAGCACGGGCUAAGUUCGUGCCAGCAGCCGCGGUAAGACGAACCGUGCGAACGUUGUUCGGAAUCACUGGGCUUAAAGGGCGCGUAGGCGGAUCAGCAAGUCCGGGGUGAAAUACUUCAGCUUAACUGGAGAAGUGCCUUGGAUACUGCUGGUCUCGAGGGAGGUAGGGGUUAUCGGAACUUCUGGUGGAGCGGUGAAAUGCGUUGAUAUCAGAAGGAACGCCGGUGGCGAAAGCGGAUAACUGGAUCUCUUCUGACGCUGAGGCGCGAAAGCUAGGGGAGCGAACGGGAUUAGAUA
RNAcentral lists this ribosomal RNA (440 nucleotides) under uncultured bacterium. RNAcentral describes it as "bacterial SSU rRNA". It matches the Rfam family "Bacterial small subunit ribosomal RNA", at positions 338 to 784 of the family's 1533-position model. The record is from RNAcentral.